AUUGAACGCUGGCGGAAUGCUUUACACAUGCAAGUCGAGCGGCAGCGCGGGGGCAACCCUGGCGGCGAGCGGCGAACGGGUGAGUAACAUAUCGGAACGUACCCCGUCGUGGGGGAUAACACAGCGAAAGCUGUGCUAAUACCGCAUACGACCUGAGGGUGAAAGCGGGGGAUCGCAAGACCUCGCGCGAUGGGAGCGGCCGAUAUCGGAUUAGCUUGUUGGUGAGGUAAAGGCUCACCAAGGCGACGAUCCGUAGCUGGUCUGAGAGGACGACCAGCCACACUGGAACUGAGACACGGUCCAGACUCCUACGGGAGGCAGCAGUGGGGAAUUUUGGACAAUGGGGGCAACCCUGAUCCAGCCAUUCCGCGUGAGUGAAGAAGGCCUCGGGUUGUAAA
This 398-nucleotide ribosomal RNA is filed under the name uncultured bacterium. Its description in RNAcentral is "bacterial SSU rRNA". It matches the Rfam family "Bacterial small subunit ribosomal RNA", at positions 29 to 429 of the family's 1533-position model. The record is from RNAcentral.